Molecule: unclassified non-coding RNA, 350 nt
Filed under: uncultured Inocybe
Lineage: Eukaryota; Fungi; Basidiomycota; Agaricomycetes; Agaricales; Cortinariaceae
Description: sequence contains ITS1
Rfam family: 5.8S ribosomal RNA (bases 1-105)
Source: RNAcentral
GAAAUGCGAUAAGUAAUGUGAAUUGCAGAAUUCAGUGAAUCAUCGAAUCUUUGAACGCAUCUUGCGCUCCUUGGUAUUCCGAGGAGCAUGCCUGUUUGAGUGUCAUUUAACUUCUCAACCAUAUCGAUUUUUGAUGUGGCUUGGAUGUGGGGGUUGUGCAGGCCUCUGACCCUGAGGUCGGCUCCCCUGAAAUGCAUUAGUGGUAUCUGAGCAGAACUACUAUACCAUUUAGGUGUGAUAAGUUAUCUAUGCCUUUGGUAUGCUGCAUGAACAGAUUGCACCGCUUCCAACGGCCCAAUAUAUUUGACAAAUUUGACCUCAAAUCAGGUAGGACUACCCGCUGAACUUAA